GAGCUAAUUCUUCCAGAUGACGAGUCUCUCCUCCCCGCCCCCACUUUCCUGGGCGCCGGGACCUCCGCCCUCUCCUGCGGAGUCUCAGGCUAGAUUUCUUCCGGGAAGGAGGCGGCGGAGGGCGGGGGUGUCCUUCAUAGUCCCAAGUCUGAGGGUCGGGGCCUCUCUUGCUCGGUUCCCGGGAUGGACACCGCGGAGCUUGGCCAGGCAGGGAAACUGAGGCUCCGAGAGGAAAGGGGGAGGGCACUGCAAGCUUGAACAGAGCUAUGGAAAGAACCCAGGCUUCCCGGAAUCUCCGAGCUGGAAGGGACCUCACCAGGGACCAGCCCCUCCGGCCUCUCUAAUGGAAUUGUAAUUCCCUCUUCAGCAUAUUUGGAAAGAAGCGCGCCGGUCGGCUUCGUUUGAGUCCUGGAGGGCUGGAUGCGGCCAACUCCUCCGGGACGGGCUCGCAGAGGGUCCAAGAUCUGGAGCUGGAAGGCCCGUUACUCAGCACGUCAAUGAGUCAUCCCAUUUUACAGAUCCGUAAACUGAGGCCCGGAGAAGUUCCGGAGCGUGUCAGCACGGGGAUCUAGUUUCCCCAGCUUGACAAAGAGCUCCCUCUUGGGAGUGGGGGAUGGAGGACAAGAGGAGGCUACUGCGAUGCUCGAUCCUUUGGAGAAGGAACAGGAAAUAUUAACCCUAGAAAAGCUGAGACUCCUCUGUUUCUUGAAUGCCAGUCUUCGAAGGGCCAUCCCGGGCAAAGGCCAGCAGACUCAGUCAUUCAGAGAACUCGGCUUUGGCCCCGAGGGUGUGGAAGGGAGGAGGCUCCUUGAGACGUACCAGGGCACUAGGGGACACUCGAAUGACUUCUACCUAGGUUAUAGUCACUGUCCUUUUUUCAGUCUUGUCUGGCUCUGCAGUGACCCCAUUUGGACUUUUCUUGGAAGAGAAACUGGGGCAAUGGAAAGUUCUGUGGUGAUCCAGGAAGACUCACUGGAGGAGGAGGUGACAGAAGCUCUGGAACCAGAAGGAAAAGAAGGAUCUGUGAGAACUGGGUAGAGGUAUGAGAAAAGGGAGAUAGCCUGAGUAAAUCCUGAAAGAGGACCAAAAUGACAUUGAUUAGUUGGGAUCAAUGAGGCAAAAGGAGAUAGUUCACUUGGUAUGGGAGAAAGAAUGCUGUUUCAGGAGUCAGGAGCCCCGAAUUCAAAUUUUACUUCUUUAACUUACUCUUCCUAUAACCUUUGCACCUCAACUUCCUAACCUUGUAUUUAGAGUAUCUACUUUUUUGGAUCAACGUGUUUCCUCAGAAAGCUCCUUGAGGUCAUAAUCAAGACAUGCUAGUUGAUUGGUUGGCUUUGAAGGUCUUUACCAGGUUCAAAUCUCUGAUCCUGAAUCUGUGUUCCUAAUAUUGGUGGCACAAUGGAUAGUGCACUGGGCUUGGAGUCAGGAGGACCCAAGUUCAAAUU
Molecule: long non-coding RNA, 1445 nt
Filed under: Monodelphis domestica (gray short-tailed opossum)
Lineage: Eukaryota; Metazoa; Chordata; Mammalia; Didelphimorphia; Didelphidae
Description: lncRNA (ENSMODG00000043182.1)
Source: RNAcentral